This 1468-nucleotide ribosomal RNA is filed under the name Salmonella enterica subsp. enterica. RNAcentral's name for it is "partial 23S ribosomal RNA". It matches the Rfam family "Bacterial large subunit ribosomal RNA", at positions 121 to 1547 of the family's 2925-position model. The record is from RNAcentral. Lineage: Bacteria; Pseudomonadati; Pseudomonadota; Gammaproteobacteria; Enterobacterales; Enterobacteriaceae.
GGGAAACCCAGUGUGAUUCGUCACACUAUCAUUAACUGAAUCCAUAGGUUAAUGAGGCGAACCGGGGGAACUGAAACAUCUAAGUACCCCGAGGAAAAGAAAUCAACCGAGAUUCCCCCAGUAGCGGCGAGCGAACGGGGAGGAGCCCAGAGCCUGAAUCAGCAUGUGUGUUAGUGGAAGCGUCUGGAAAGGCGCGCGAUACAGGGUGACAGCCCCGUACACAAAAGCGCAUGUGUUGUGAGCUCGAUGAGUAGGGCGGGACACGUGGUAUCCUGUCUGAAUAUGGGGGGACCAUCCUCCAAGGCUAAAUACUCCUGACUGACCGAUAGUGAACCAGUACCGUGAGGGAAAGGCGAAAAGAACCCCGGCGAGGGGAGUGAAAAAGAACCUGAAACCGUGUACGUACAAGCAGUGGGAGCACAGGUUUACCUGUGUGACUGCGUACCUUUUGUAUAAUGGGUCAGCGACUUAUAUUCUGUAGCAAGGUUAACCGUAUAGGGGAGCCGGAGGGAAACCGAGUCUUAAUUGGGCGUUAAGUUGCAGGGUAUAGACCCGAAACCCGGUGAUCUAGCCAUGGGCAGGUUGAAGGUUGGGUAACACUAACUGGAGGACCGAACCGACUAAUGUUGAAAAAUUAGCGGAUGACCUGUGGCUGGGGGUGAAAGGCCAAUCAAACCGGGAGAUAGCUGGUUCUCCCCGAAAGCUAUUUAGGUAGCGCCUCGUGAACUCAUCUCCGGGGGUAGAGCACUGUUUCGGCUAGGGGGCCAUCCCGGCUUACCAACCCGAUGCAAACUGCGAAUACCGGAGAAUGUUAUCACGGGAGACACACGGCGGGUGCUAACGUCCGUCGUGAAGAGGGAAACAACCCAGACCGCCAGCUAAGGUCCCAAAGUCAUGGUUAAGUGGGAAACGAUGUGGGAAGGCCCAGACAGCCAGGAUGUUGGCUUAGAAGCAGCCAUCAUUUAAAGAAAGCGUAAUAGCUCACUGGUCGAGUCGGCCUGCGCGGAAGAUGUAACGGGGCUAAACCAUGCACCGAAGCUGCGGCAGCGAACGUAUCACCCAAGACAACUUUGCGGAGUUGACGAUUGACGGAGCGAAGCGACGUCAAAGCGUUCAUUAAAGUCGAGUUGGCUUAGGGAUACGUUCGUUGGGUAGGGGAGCGUUCUGUAAGCCAGUGAAGGUGUGUCGUGAGGCAUGCUGGAGGUAUCAGAAGUGCGAAUGCUGACAUAAGUAACGAUAAAGCGGGUGAAAAGCCCGCUCGCCGGAAGACCAAGGGUUCCUGUCCAACGUUAAUCGGGGCAGGGUGAGUCGACCCCUAAGGCGAGGCCGAAAGGCGUAGUCGAUGGGAAACGGGUUAAUAUUCCCGUACUUGGUGUUACUGCGAAGGGGGGACGGAGAAGGCUAUGUUGGCCGGGCGACGGUUGUCCCGGUUUAAGCGUGUAGGUGUGUGUUCCAGGUAAAUCCGGUU